RNAcentral lists this non-coding RNA (86 nucleotides) under Proteiniborus ethanoligenes. Lineage: Bacteria; Bacillati; Bacillota; Clostridia; Eubacteriales. The record is from RNAcentral.
UAACCCAUGCAGUGAUGUGUGGCUGAACUAUCAGAAGUCAGCAGAAGCCAUAGUACAAGGUUAGUCAUGAAUAACCUUGGAAGGGC